This 328-nucleotide ribosomal RNA is filed under the name uncultured eukaryote. Its description in RNAcentral is "partial 18S ribosomal RNA". It matches the Rfam family "Eukaryotic small subunit ribosomal RNA", at positions 1470 to 1796 of the family's 1831-position model. The record is from RNAcentral.
CCCUUAGAUGUUCUGGGCCGCACGCGCGCUACACUGACUACUUCAACGAGUUGUUUCCUUGAUCGAAAGGUCUGGGUAAUCUUUGAAAGGUAGUCGUGAUGGGGAUAGAUCCUUGCAAUUUUUGAUCUUCAACGAGGAAUUCCUAGUAAACGCAAGUCAUCAGCUUGCAUUGAUUACGUCCCUGCCCUUUGUACACACCGCCCGUCGCACCUACCGAUUGAAUGGUCCGGUGAAUCUUUAGGACUGUGGCUGAGGCCUUGCCUUGUGCGGGUCUGGCCGUGGGAAUUUAGUUAAACCUUACCAUUUAGAGGAAGGAGAAGUCGUAACA